Molecule: ribosomal RNA, 253 nt
Filed under: uncultured bacterium
Lineage: Bacteria
Description: partial 16S ribosomal RNA
Rfam family: Bacterial small subunit ribosomal RNA
Source: RNAcentral
UACGAAGGGGGCUAGCGUUGCUCGGAAUGACUGGGCGUAAAGGGCGCGUAGGCGGUUCGUAUAGUCAGGCGUGAAAUUCCCGGGCUUAACCUGGGGGCUGCGUUUGAUACGUACGGGCUUGAGUUCGGAAGAGGGUCGUGGAAUUCCCAGUGUAGAGGUGAAAUUAGUAGAUAUUGGGAAGAACACCGGUGGAGAAGGCGGCGAAAUGGUCCGAUACUGACGCUGAGGAGAGAAAGCGUGGGGAGCAAACGGG